AAUGGGUCAGCGACUUAUAUUCUGUAGCAAGGUUAACCGAAUAGGGGAGCCGAAGGGAAACCGAGUCUUAACUGGGCGUUAAGUUGCAGGGUAUAGACCCGAAACCCGGUGAUCUAGCCAUGGGCAGGUUGAAGGUUGGGUAACACUAACUGGAGGACCGAACCGACUAAUGUUGAAAAAUUAGCGGAUGACUUGUGGCUGGGGGUGAAAGGCCAAUCAAACCGGGAGAUAGCUGGUUCUCCCCGAAAGCUAUUUAGGUAGCGCCUCGUGAAUUCAUCUCCGGGGGUAGAGCACUGUUUCGGCAAGGGGGUCAUCCCGACUUACCAACCCGAUGCAAACUGCGAAUACCGGAGAAUGUUAUCACGGGAGACACACGGCGGGUGCUAACGUCCGUCGUGAAGAGGGAAACAACCCAGACCGCCAGCUAAGGUCCCAAAGUCAUGGUUAAGUGGGAAACGAUGUGGGAAGGCCCAGACAGCCAGGAUGUUGGCUUAGAAGCAGCCAUCAUUUAAAGAAAGCGUAAUAGCUCACUGGUCGAGUCGGCCUGCGCGGAAGAUGUAACGGGGCUAAACCAUGCACCGAAGCUGCGGCAGCGACGCUUAUGCGUUGUUGGGUAGGGGAGCGUUCUGUAAGCCUGUGAAGGUGUGCUGUGAGGCAUGCUGGAGGUAUCAGAAGUGCGAAUGCUGACAUAAGUAACGAUAAAGCGGGUGAAAAGCCCGCUCGCCGGAAGACCAAGGGUUCCUGUCCAACGUUAAUCGGGGCAGGGUGAGUCGACCCCUAAGGCGAGGCCGAAAGGCGUAGUCGAUGGGAAACAGGUUAAUAUUCCUGUACUUGGUGUUACUGCGAAGGGGGGACGGAGAAGGCUAUGUUGGCCGGGCGACGGUUGUCCCGGUUUAAGCGUGUAGGCUGGUUUUCCAGGCAAAUCCGGAAAAUCAAGGCUGAGGCGUGAUGACGAGGCACUACGGUGCUGAAGCAACAAAUGCCCUGCUUCCAGGAAAAGCCUCUAAGCAUCAGGUAACAUCAAAUCGUACCCCAAACCGACACAGGUGGUCAGGUAGAGAAUACCAAGGCGCUUGAGAGAACUCGGGUGAAGGAACUAGGCAAAAUGGUGCCGUAACUUCGGGAGAAGGCACGCUGAUAUGUAGGUGAAGUCCCUCGCGGAUGGAGCUGAAAUCAGUCGAAGAUACCAGCUGGCUGCAACUGUUUAUUAAAAACACAGCACUGUGCAAACACGAAAGUGGACGUAUACGGUGUGACGCCUGCCCGGUGCCGGAAGGUUAAUUGAUGGGGUCAGCGCAAGCGAAGCUCUUGAUCGAAGCCCCGGUAAACGGCGGCCGUAACUAUAACGGUCCUAAGGUAGCGAAAUUCCUUGUCGGGUAAGUUCCGACCUGCACGAAUGGCGUAAUGAUGGCCAGGCUGUCUCCACCCGAGACUCAGUGAAAUUGAACUCGCUGUGAAGAUGCAGUGUACCCGCGGCAAGACGGAAAGACCCCGUGAACCUUUACUAUAGCUUGACACUGAACAUUGAGCCUUGAUGUGUAGGAUAGGUGGGAGGCUUAGAAGUGUGGACGCCAGUCUGCAUGGAGCCGACCUUGAAAUACCACCCUUUAAUGUUUGAUGUUCUAACGUUGACCCGUAAUCCGGGUUGCGGACAGUGUCUGGUGGGUAGUUUGACUGGGGCGGUCUCCUCCUAAAGAGUAACGGAGGAGCACGAAGGUUGGCUAAUCCUGGUCGGACAUCAGGAGGUUAGUGCAAUGGCAUAAGCCAGCUUGACUGCGAGCGUGACGGCGCGAGCAGGUGCGAAAGCAGGUCAUAGUGAUCCGGUGGUUCUGAAUGGAAGGGCCAUCGCUCAACGGAUAAAAGGUACUCCGGGGAUAACAGGCUGAUACCGCCCAAGAGUUCAUAUCGACGGCGGUGUUUGGCACCUCGAUGUCGGCUCAUCACAUCCUGGGGCUGAAGUAGGUCCCAAGGGUAUGGCUGUUCGCCAUUUAAAGUGGUACGCGAGCUGGGUUUAGAACGUCGUGAGACAGUUCGGUCCCUAUCUGCCGUGGGCGCUGGAGAACUGAGGGGGGCUGCUCCUAGUACGAGAGGACCGGAGUGGACGCAUCACUGGUGUUCGGGUUGUCAUGCCAAUGGCACUGCCCGGUAGCUAAAUGCGGAAGAGAUAAGUGCUGAAAGCAUCUAAGCACGAAACUUGCCCCGAGAUGAGUUCUCCCUGA
Molecule: ribosomal RNA, 2219 nt
Filed under: Escherichia coli
Lineage: Bacteria; Pseudomonadati; Pseudomonadota; Gammaproteobacteria; Enterobacterales; Enterobacteriaceae
Description: partial 23S ribosomal RNA
Rfam family: Bacterial large subunit ribosomal RNA
Source: RNAcentral